UGCUUAACACAUGCAAGUCGAACGAAGCUGCUUAACUGAUCUUCUUCGGAAUUGACGUUUUGUAGACUGAGUGGCGGACGGGUGAGUAACGCGUGGGUAACCUACCCUGUACAGGGGGAUAACAGUCAGAAAUGACUGCUAAUACCGCAUAAGACCACAGCACCGCAUGGUGCAGGGGUAAAAACUCCGGUGGUACAGGAUGGACCCGCGUCUGAUUAGCUGGUUGGUGAGGUAACGGCUCACCAAGGCGACGAUCAGUAGCCGGCUUGAGAGAGUGAACGGCCACAUUGGGACUGAGACACGGCCCAAACUCCUACGGGAGGCAGCAGUGGGGAAUAUUGCACAAUGGGGGAAACCCUGAUGCAGCGACGCCGCGUGAGUGAAGAAGUAUCUCGGUAUGUAAAGCUCUAUCAGCAGGGAAGAAAAUGACGGUACCUGACUAAGAAGCCCCGGCUAACUACGUGCCAGCAGCCGCGGUAAUACGUAGGGGGCAAGCGUUAUCCGGAAUUACUGGGUGUAAAGGGUGCGUAGGUGGUAUGGCAAGUCAGAAGUGAAAACCCAGGGCUUAACUCUGGGACUGCUUUUGAAACUGUCAGACUGGAGUGCAGGAGAGGUAAGCGGAAUUCCUAGUGUAGCGGUGAAAUGCGUAGAUAUUAGGAGGAACAUCAGUGGCGAAGGCGGCUUACUGGACUGAAACUGACACUGAGGCACGAAAGCGUGGGGAGCAAACAG
RNAcentral lists this ribosomal RNA (732 nucleotides) under uncultured Lachnospiraceae bacterium. RNAcentral describes it as "bacterial SSU rRNA". It matches the Rfam family "Bacterial small subunit ribosomal RNA", at positions 45 to 775 of the family's 1533-position model. Lineage: Bacteria; Bacillati; Bacillota; Clostridia; Lachnospirales; Lachnospiraceae. The record is from RNAcentral.